CAGUCGCCGCGGUAACACAGAGGGUGCGAGCGUUAAUCGGAUUUACUGGGCGUAAAGCGUGCGUAGGCGGCUUCUUAAGUCGGAUGUGAAAUCCCUGAGCUUAACUUAGGAAUUGCAUUCGAUACUGGGAAGCUAGAGUAUGGGAGAGGAUGGUAGAAUUCCAGGUGUAGCGGUGAAAUGCGUAGAGAUCUGGAGGAAUACCGAUGGCGAAGGCAGCCAUCUGGCCUAAUACUGACGCUGAGGUACGAAAGCAUGGGGAGCAAACAGGAUUAGAUACCCCAGUAGUCCCUGUCUCUUAUAC
RNAcentral lists this ribosomal RNA (301 nucleotides) under uncultured bacterium. Its description in RNAcentral is "partial 16S ribosomal RNA". It matches the Rfam family "Bacterial small subunit ribosomal RNA", at positions 509 to 807 of the family's 1533-position model. The record is from RNAcentral.